RNAcentral lists this ribosomal RNA (200 nucleotides) under uncultured bacterium. RNAcentral's name for it is "partial 16S ribosomal RNA". It matches the Rfam family "Bacterial small subunit ribosomal RNA", at positions 524 to 723 of the family's 1533-position model. The record is from RNAcentral.
UACGGAGGGUGCAAACGUUGCUCGGAAUCACUGGGCGUAAAGCGCACGUAGGCGGCCGCUUAAGUUGGGUGUGAAAGCCCUGGGCUCAACCCAGGAAGUGCAUCCAAAACUGAACGGCUUGAGUACCGGAGGGGCUCAGAGAAUUCCCGGUGUAGAGGUGAAAUUCGUAGAUAUCGGGAGGAAUACCAGUGGCGAAGGCG